GACGAACGCUGGCGGCGUGCUUAACACAUGCAAGUCGAGCGGUAAGGCCCGUUUCGGGGGUACACGAGCGGCGAACGGGUGAGUAACACGUGGGUGACCUGCCCUCAGCUCUGGGAUAAGCCUGGGAAACCGGGUCUAAUACUGGAUAUGACUCCAUGACGCAUGUUGUGGGGUGGAAAGCCUUGUGCGGCUGAGGAUGGGCCCGCGGCCUAUCAGCUUGUUGGUGGGGUGANGGCCUACCAAGGCGACGACGGGUAGCCGGCCUGAGAGGGCGACCGGCCACACUGGGACUGAGACACGGCCCAGACUCCUACGGGAGGCAGCGGUGGGGAAUCUUGCGCAAUGGGCGAAAGCCUGACGCAGCGACGCCGCGUGAGGGAUGACGGCCUGGUU
This 393-nucleotide ribosomal RNA is filed under the name uncultured bacterium. RNAcentral's name for it is "bacterial SSU rRNA". It matches the Rfam family "Bacterial small subunit ribosomal RNA", at positions 28 to 424 of the family's 1533-position model. The record is from RNAcentral.